GACAGAGGUGCCGAGCGUUAGGCGGAAUCACUGGGCUUAAAGCGUGUGUAGGCGGGUCGUUAAGUACCUUGUGAAAUCCCAUGGCUCAACCAUGGAACGGCUGGGUAUACUGGCGAUCUUGAGCGAUCUAGGGGCAGAUGGAACAAGUGGUGGAGCGGUGAAAUGCGUAGAUAUCACUUGGAACGCCAAAGGUGAAAACAGGUUGCUGGGAGUGUGCUGACGCUGAGACACGAAAGCCAGGGGAGCAAACGGG
Molecule: ribosomal RNA, 253 nt
Filed under: uncultured bacterium
Lineage: Bacteria
Description: partial 16S ribosomal RNA
Rfam family: Bacterial small subunit ribosomal RNA
Source: RNAcentral